RNAcentral lists this signal recognition particle RNA (97 nucleotides) under Lactobacillales bacterium. RNAcentral's name for it is "signal recognition particle sRNA small type". It matches the Rfam family "Bacterial small signal recognition particle RNA". Rfam says of the family: The signal recognition particle (SRP) is a universally conserved ribonucleoprotein involved in the co-translational targeting of proteins to membranes. Archaeal SRP consists of a 7S RNA and homologues of the eukaryotic SRP19 and SRP54 proteins. The record is from RNAcentral. Lineage: Bacteria; Bacillati; Bacillota; Bacilli; Lactobacillales.
AGAAUAUUUUUGGGCAAUGGAAAUUGUGUGAAGUGAGUCAGAGCCGGAAGGCAGCAGCUAUAAGCACGAUUCCCAUGUGCUCUUUUAUUAUGGUGUU